UACGUAGGCAGCAAGCGUUGUUCGGAGUUACUGGGCGUAAAGCGUGCGUAGGUGGUUUUUUAAGUCCGUUGUGAAAGCCCCGGGCUCAACCUGGGAAUGGCCGUUGAAACUGGCGAACUGGAGUGUGGCAGAGGGGGGUGGAAUUCCGCGUGUAGCAGUGAAAUGCGUAGAGAUGCGGAGGAACACCGAUGGCGAAGGCAGCCCCCUGGGCUGACACUGACGCUCAGGCACGAAAGCGUGGGGAGCAAACAGG
RNAcentral lists this ribosomal RNA (253 nucleotides) under uncultured bacterium. Its description in RNAcentral is "partial 16S ribosomal RNA". It matches the Rfam family "Bacterial small subunit ribosomal RNA", at positions 524 to 776 of the family's 1533-position model. The record is from RNAcentral.